GAGGGUGGGGCGUGGAAGGAGCGUCCGGAAGACGGACUGAGGCUGGAGAGCUGGCGCGGGUCUGAGGUACACAGGUCAACCCUAGAGCGAGAACCCUCGUGUGCUGGACUGAGCUGGAGCAGCAGGGCGUCCUGCUCAGCAGCAGAUGGCUUGGACGAAGUGAGCCUCCUCGUCAAGUUCAAUCUUGAAACUUCAGCAGCACCACGGUGUCGUGCUGGUAACUCGGAGAUGGGCAGGAUAAGGUGUGUUUGUUUGAGGUGAAUGUGCUCACUUGUCUUGAGAGUCUUGAGUGGCUGGGCCCUGUCUAGGCUGUGGGCUGACAGACAGCUGUCGGGAAGGCUGUCUGGCGGGAGGGCAUUGGGGGCAGGCUUCCUGACAAGCGGAGGCACCCGCCAUGUGUCCAGAGCAGAAGUCAACCCCAGUGCCUUUCUGUGUGGACUCAUUCCCAGCUGUAGGUCACAGGGGCCUGCCCCGCCACCCCUUCCCCAGUGGUGACCUGGGAGGAGGGGAGAUUAAUUCAGAGCAGCAGAUAACCCGGAGGGGAAGAGCCCCCUGGAGGAAAUCUGUGACAUGUUGUGCUGUCUCUGCAUCCACAAAACACCAGGCCCAGAGGCCCUGACUUCUGCCACACAGCACUGGCCUGGCCUCGGGCCCCAGCUCCUCUUCUCUGGUGGCCAAGGGUAAAUGAGACCCACUGGGGUGGCUAAGGCCAAAGGGGCUGGGGGCACCCAGCUUCAGUGCUGUAGGCUGGAGCCAGGCUCUGCUAGCCCUGAGGUCUCCAUAGGCCUGGGUCUCCCAGCCUUGGGCCACCUGCAGUGAGAGCUUCCCAGGCAGCACACACCAGCUGGGCAGCACAGGUGUCCCUCAUCUGGGCCACUCAAGAACCCUCCCUGCUCCCGCUUCGCUCUGCCCUUCCUGGGCCCAAUGGCUGCAGCACCUGUGUCAGGGAGCCUCGAGGGGCCAGAAGGAUGCUGAAAACCCCAGCAAAGCUCUAGUGUGUGGCCUCCCGGGGUGGGGGCUGAGUCCUCCUGCCCCCAGUUUUGGAGCAGCAGCUGCACACAGGGGUCCCUCACAUGCUCCUCCAGGACACGGCAGGGCCUGAGGUCCCCAGGUGCUGCCCAAGGGAUGCAAGCAUGGCAGGAGAAGGGUCCCAGAGGCUUGGAGCCCAUCCGGAAGCUGACAGUCUCAUGACAGGAGGGCACUGGAUGGUGAGGCCAUGUGGGGGACCACCCCUGGUCCAACAGCGGGUGGGGAGCCGGAGCGGGGAGCAGAGAAGUGAACGCAGAGGAAGGGACGAGAACACAAUCCCCACGCCCAGCAUGGCCCAGAGACCGGAGCAAACCCUUGUCAUCAAGGGCUUUCCUCCUGUCUGUUUUUGUUUUUUGAGACAGAGUCUUGCUGUGUCACCCAGGCUGGAGGGCAGUGGUGCAAUCUUGGCUCACCACAACCUCCGCUUCCUAGGCUCAGGUGAUUUUUGUGCCUCAACCACCCAAGUAGCUGGGAUUAUAAGUGUGCACCACCACGCCCAGCUAUAUUUUUGUAUUUUUAGUAGAGAUGGGGGUUUCUCCAUGUUGGCCAUGCUGGUCUCGAACUCCUGGCCUCAAGUGAUCCUCCCGCCUUGGCCUCCCAAAGUGCUGGGAUUGCAGGCAUGAGCAACCACACCUGGACUUUUUUUUUUUUUUUGAUAUAGGGUCUCAUUUUGUCAUCCAGGCUGGAGUGCAGUGGCACAAUCUUGGCUCACUGCAGCCUCCACCUCCCUGGGCUCAGGUGAUCCUCCCACCUCAGCCCCACAGGCCCAUGCUACCAUGCCCCGCUAUUUUUUUAUGUAUAGAGACAAGGUCAUGUUGCCCAGGCUGGUCUCAAACUCCUGGGCUCCAGAGAUCUGUCUGCCUGGGCCUCCCAAAGUCCUGGGAUUCCAGGCGUGAGCCACUGUACUGGCCUUUCUCCUGUCCUGGGAUGCUGCUGCCAGUUUUCCUGGAAUCUCCAAGACCCCUUGCAGACCGUGGUAACACUUCCAGGGGAGACCUAGAAGCUUGGAGCUGAAGCCCGGGCAGCCGAGACUGAUGGGGAACCCUGGACACUGGAGUUUGGGAGCGCUUGGUCAGCUGGCACCUGCCAUGUGGUGAACAUGGAGCCGUGGAGAUUCCACAGCUGGGUUUCUCUGCCUGAGAGCAGGCCCAGUCACCAGGCACCUCCCACAGGGCCCCCUGAGACCACACUGCCUGCAGCAGCCUCCCUAGACCCCCAGGCAGCACUCAGGA
Molecule: long non-coding RNA, 2261 nt
Organism: Callithrix jacchus (white-tufted-ear marmoset)
Lineage: Eukaryota; Metazoa; Chordata; Mammalia; Primates; Cebidae
Source: RefSeq, a predicted model, not a curated record